Molecule: long non-coding RNA, 300 nt
Filed under: Nicotiana tabacum (common tobacco)
Lineage: Eukaryota; Viridiplantae; Streptophyta; Magnoliopsida; Solanales; Solanaceae
Description: long non-coding RNA (NTAB_LNC000707)
Source: RNAcentral
AAUUGAAGAGAAGCCUGAAGAACCAGCAAUUAAGGAAAAAGCUGAUGAACCAGCAGUGCAAGAAAAACUUGAAGAACCAGCUGUGGAAAAGAAACCUGAAGAACCAGUGGCUACGGAGAAACCUGAAGAACCAGCAAUUAAGGAAAAAGCUGAUGAACCAGCAGCGCAGGAGAAACCUGAAGAACCAGCUGUGGGAAAGAAACCUGAAGAACCAGUGGCUACGGAGAAACCUAAAGAACCAGCAAUUAAGGAAAAAGCUGAUGAACCAGCAGUGCAAGAGAAACCUGAAGAACCAGCUGU